UGAGGAAUAUUGGUCAAUGGGCGCAAGCCUGAACCAGCCAUGCCGCGUGCAGGAUGACGGUCCUAUGGAUUGUAAACUGCUUUUGUACGAGAAGAAACAACAUUACGUGUAAUGUCUUGACGGUAUCGUAAGAAUAAGGAUCGGCUAACUCCGUGCCAGCAGCCGCGGUAAUACGGAGGAUCCAAGCGUUAUCCGGAAUCAUUGGGUUUAAAGGGUCCGUAGGCGGUUUAGUAAGUCAGUGGUGAAAGCCCAUCGCUCAACGGUGGAACGGCCAUUGAUACUGCUGAACUUGAAUUAUUAGGAAGUAACUAGAAUAUGUAGUGUAGCGGUGAAAUGCUUAGAGAUUACAUGGAAUACCAAUUGCGAAGGCAGGUUACUACUAAUGGAUUGACGCUGAUGGACGAAAGCGUGGGUAGCGAACAGGAUUAGAUACC
RNAcentral lists this ribosomal RNA (434 nucleotides) under uncultured bacterium. RNAcentral describes it as "bacterial SSU rRNA". It matches the Rfam family "Bacterial small subunit ribosomal RNA", at positions 355 to 786 of the family's 1533-position model. The record is from RNAcentral.